This 253-nucleotide ribosomal RNA is filed under the name uncultured bacterium. RNAcentral's name for it is "partial 16S ribosomal RNA". It matches the Rfam family "Bacterial small subunit ribosomal RNA", at positions 524 to 776 of the family's 1533-position model. The record is from RNAcentral.
UACGGAGGGUGCAAGCGUUAUCCGGAUUCACUGGGUUUAAAGGGUGCGUAGGUGGGUUGGCAAGUCAGUGGUGAAAUCCCCGAGCUUAACUUGGGAACUGCCAUUGAUACUAUCAGUCUUGAAUACCGUGGAGGUCAGCGGAAUAUGUCAUGUAGCGGUGAAAUGCUUAGAUAUGACAUAGAACACCAAUUGCGAAGGCAGCUGGCUACACGAAUAUUGACACUCAGGCACGAAAGCGUGGGGAUCAAACAGG